GGACGAACGCUGGCGGCGUGCCUAAUACAUGCAAGUCGAACGGUCUUUCUAUGGAAGCUUGCUUCCACUGAAAGGAUAGUGGCGAACGGGUGAGUAACACGUGGGUAACCUGCCCAUAAGAGGGGGGAUAACAUCCGGAAACGGGUGCUAAUACCGCAUAGUUUUCUUGAUCGCAUGAUCGGGAAAGGGAAGACGGCCUUUGUGCUGUCGCUUAUGGAUGGACCCGCGGCGUAUUAGUUAGUUGGUGAGGUAACGGCUCACCAAGACGAUGAUACGUAGCCGACCUGAGAGGGUGAUCGGCCACAUUGGGACUGAGACACGGCCCAAACUCCUACGGGAGGCAGCAGUAGGGAAUCUUCCGCAAUGGACGAAAGUCUGACGGAGCAACGCCGCGUGAGUGAAGAAAGGUUUUCGGAUCGUAAAACUCUGUUGUCAGAGAAGAACAAGUUGGAGAGUAACUGCUCCAGCCUUGACGGUAUCUGACCAGAAAGCCACGGCUAACUACGUGCCAGCAGCCGC
This 519-nucleotide ribosomal RNA is filed under the name uncultured bacterium. Its description in RNAcentral is "bacterial SSU rRNA". It matches the Rfam family "Bacterial small subunit ribosomal RNA", at positions 27 to 518 of the family's 1533-position model. The record is from RNAcentral.